Long non-coding RNA from Ornithorhynchus anatinus (platypus), 834 nucleotides. RefSeq lists it as uncharacterized. The record is from RefSeq and is a predicted model, not a curated record. The transcript has 4 exons. NCBI's taxonomy places the organism in Eukaryota, Metazoa, Chordata, Mammalia, Monotremata, Ornithorhynchidae.
UGCUGUGGCACGAUGUAAUUAUUGUUCCAGACAGCUGAAAGCAGCAGGGUUCCUGGUAUCCCCGCUCAGUUGCAGUCUGCCAUGAUUGCUGGCAUAGAAAGCUGCUGAUUAGGGCAGCGCCGUAUUACGUUCCACCCCAGAGGUCCAUCUGGAAGUACCCUGACUCACAGCUUCAUGGAACAGUCCCUUCCCCUCCUGCAGGGACCUGUUUGUGGAUGGCCCAGCAUUAGGACUGAUUUCACAAGAGGCAUCCAAACAGUGACUCUGAAGUGGGGCGGACCAGAACAGAAACCUGGAAAAGCUGUGGCCCAUUGGACCUGUCUACUGGCCACCUUCACAGGUCUCCAGGCAAGUGGGAGAAUUUACUUCUUGUCUUCCAUUUGGCUAGUCGGUUCACUGCCAAGGAGCCUGGGCUUAAUACCUUGUCACUCAGCCAGAUCAAUAACAGGACCCACUACACUACACAUGCUCCUCCCAAAAUGGCCCUGUAAAACCCAGUCCUGGUGGGAGAAAGCUGGCUUCGGUGAUCCAGGAUGAUCGACUAACUGGACCGAGAAGUGACGCCAAACCCUUUCCCGUCUCCGAAAAACCUCAGAGAAAUUACUUCCAGCCUAGUGAAGUCCUGUGGAAGCCAAGAGCCAACGCCCUAGCUCUCUGUGAGGAAAGUAAAAUGUGGGGGGAGUGAAUAAGGGGUAAGAAAGAGGGAGGCAGGAGGAGGAGGACUCCUACUCUCCCUCCUUUUUCCCCUCCUCUCCAUCCACCAUCUCUUCUAUUAUGUCCUGAAUAAUGGGCCCUCACUCUCUGAGUGGUACCUAGUAAAUCCAACUUUCAUCU